RNAcentral lists this ribosomal RNA (626 nucleotides) under uncultured Verrucomicrobiota bacterium. Its description in RNAcentral is "bacterial SSU rRNA". It matches the Rfam family "Bacterial small subunit ribosomal RNA", at positions 77 to 680 of the family's 1533-position model. The record is from RNAcentral. Lineage: Bacteria; Pseudomonadati; Verrucomicrobiota.
UAGCAAUACAUCAGAGUUGGAGUGGCGCAAGGGUGCGUAACACGUGGGUAAUUUGCCAUAAAGUUGGGGAUAACUCGCUGAAAGGCGAGCUAAUACCGGAUGUGGUUAUCGGAUGGCAUCACCUGAUAACUAAAGCUGGGGAUCGUAAGACCUGGCGCUUUAUGAUAAGCCCGCGGCCUAUCAGCUAGUUGGUGAGGUAACGGCUCACCAAGGCUAAGACGGGUAGCUGGUCUGAGAGGACGACCAGCCACACUGGAACUGAGACACGGUCCAGACACCUACGGGUGGCAGCAGUCGAGAAUUUUUCUCAAUGGGCGCAAGCCUGAAGGAGCGACGCCGCGUGGGGGAUGAAGGGUUUCGAUCCGUAAACCCCUGUCAUUCGUGAACAAUGGUUACGAUUGAAUAUUUCGUGACUUGAUAGUAACGGAAGAGGAAGGGACGGCUAACUCUGUGCCAGCAGCCGCGGUAAUACAGAGGUCCCGAGCGUUGUUCGGAUUCACUGGGCGUAAAGGGUGCGUAGGUGGCCUAAAAAGUUUGAUGUGAAAGCUCAGGGCUUAACCCUGAAAUGGCAUUGAAUACUGUUGGGCUGGAGGUUUGGAGGGGGGACUGGAAUUCACGGUGUAGCA